GACGAACUUUGGCGGCGUGCUUAACACAUGCAAGUCGAACGGAAAGGCCCUGCUUUUGUGGGGUGCUCGAGUGGCGAACGGGUGAGUAACACGUGAGUAACCUGCCCUUGACUUUGGGAUAACUUCAGGAAACUGGGGCUAAUACCGGAUAGGAGCUCCUGCUGCAUGGUGGGGGUUGGAAAGUUUCGGCGGUUGGGGAUGGACUCGCGGCUUAUCAGCUUGUUGGUGGGGUAGUGGCUUACCAAGGCUUUGACGGGUAGCCGGCCUGAGAGGGUGACCGGCCACAUUGGGACUGAGAUACGGCCCAGACUCCUACGGGAGGCAGCAGUGGGGAAUAUUGCACAAUGGGCGGAAGCCUGAUGCAGCAACGCCGCGUGCGGGAUGACGGCCUUCGGGUUGUAAACCGCUUUCGCCUGUGACGAAGCGUGAGUGACGGUAAUGGGUAAAGAAGCACCGGCUAACUACGUGCCAGCAGCCGCGGUGAUACGUAGGGUGCGAGCGUUGUCCGGAUUUAUUGGGCGUAAAGGGCUCGUAGGUGGUUGAUCGCGUCGGAAGUGUAAUCUUGGGGCUUAACCCUGAGCGUGCUUUCGAUACGGGUUGACUUGAGGAAGGUAGGGGAGAAUGGAAUUCCCUGGUGGAGCGGUGGAAUGCGCAAAUAUCAGGAGGAACACCAGUGGCGAAAGCGGUUCUCUGGGCCUUUCCUGACGCUGAGGAGCGAAAGCGUGGGGAGCGAACAGGCUUAGAUACCCUGGUAGUCCACGCUGUAAACGGUGGGUACUAGGUGUGGGGUCCAUUCCACGGGUUCCGUGCCGUAGCUAACGCUUUAAGUACCCCGCCUGGGGAGUACGGCCGCAAGGCUAAAACUCAGAGGAAUUGACGGGGCCCCGCACAAGCGGCGGAGCAUGCGGAUUAAUUCGAUGCAACGCGUAGAACCUUACCUGGGUUUGACAUGGAUCGGGAGUGCUCAGAGAUGGGUGUGCCUCUUUUGGGGUCGGUUCACAGGUGGUGCAUGGCUGUCGUCAGCACGUGUCGUGAGAUGUUGGGUUAAGUCCCGCAACGAGCGCAACCCUUGUUCACUGUUGCCAGCACGUUAUGGUGGGGACUCAGUGGAGACCGCCGGGGUCAACUCGGAGGAAGGUGGGGAUGACGUCAAGUCAUCAUGCCCCUUAUGUCCAGGGCUUCACGCAUGCUACAAUGGCUGGUACAGAGAGUGGCGAGCCUGUGAGGGUGAGCGAAUCUCGGAAAGCCGGUCUCAGUUCGGAUUGGGGUCUGCAACUCGACCUCAUGAAGUCGGAGUCGCUAGUAAUCGCAGAUCAGCAACGCUGCGGUGAAUACGUUCCCGGGGCU
RNAcentral lists this ribosomal RNA (1347 nucleotides) under uncultured bacterium. Its description in RNAcentral is "partial 16S ribosomal RNA". It matches the Rfam family "Bacterial small subunit ribosomal RNA", at positions 28 to 1381 of the family's 1533-position model. The record is from RNAcentral.